GACGAACGCUGGCGGCGUGCUUAACACAUGCAAGUCGAACGGAAAGGCCUGCUUUCCCUUGUGGCUUGCGGGUACUCGAGUGGCGAACGGGUGAGUAACACGUGAGUGAUCUGCCCCCAACUUGGGUAUAAGCCUGGGAAACUGGGUCUAAUUCCCGAUAGGACUGCAGGGUGGUGCCUGUGGUGGAAAACGAUUUUCUAGUGGUUGGGGAUGAGCUCGCGGACUAUCAGCUUGUUGGUGGGGUACUGGCCUACCAAGGCGGCAACAGGUAGCCGGCCCGUGAGGGUGGACGGUCUAAGUGGGACAGGAUUGCGGAGCAGAAGUCGUAGCGAGACAGGCGUUGGUAAGAUUGCCCAGCUGGCGGAAGCCUGGAGCGCCGACGCCGCGUGGAGGAUCACGGCUCUCGGGAUGUGAACUCAUGUGGACCGAGAGGAAGCCACCUGGUUGGAAGGGUGGUGACGGUAGUGGAAGAAGAAGCACCGGCUAACUACGUG
RNAcentral lists this ribosomal RNA (494 nucleotides) under uncultured bacterium. RNAcentral's name for it is "partial 16S ribosomal RNA". It matches the Rfam family "Bacterial small subunit ribosomal RNA", at positions 28 to 507 of the family's 1533-position model. The record is from RNAcentral.